CUUAUUAACUAAUUUUCUAUUUUACCUUCCUUUCUGUUCUAGGUAAUAGGUGUUAUAGGAAGAGCUGAACUUUUAUCAUCAAUCUUUUUUCUAAUUGCAUUUUUCUCAUAAACAGAAUCUAAAGAUCUGAAUAAUAUCCUAAGUUUGAUAAUCCAGCAGCUGUAAAUCCAAUUCCCACAAGUGUGCUUUAAAAAAGCUGUCCUGGCUUUGUCUAUCUAUAUAUAUCAUCUUGCAGUGAUCUAUAAGGCAAGAUCAUUCUUAAAAAUGCUUCACAGAAACUGGGACUAGGAAUCUGAAUAUACCUUGUUUAUGUUUAUCUUAAAGGUAAAUAAAAAUACCAAACUGCAAUAAUGUGGGUCAUGUUUUGGAAAAUGAAAAGAAUUUUGAGAGUCUUAAAAUACUUCCUAACAAACAACACAUGUUCAGCCAGGUAA
This 434-nucleotide long non-coding RNA is filed under the name Sarcophilus harrisii (Tasmanian devil). Its description in RNAcentral is "lncRNA (ENSSHAG00000031343.1)". Lineage: Eukaryota; Metazoa; Chordata; Mammalia; Dasyuromorphia; Dasyuridae. The record is from RNAcentral.